This 500-nucleotide ribosomal RNA is filed under the name uncultured bacterium. RNAcentral describes it as "partial 16S ribosomal RNA". It matches the Rfam family "Bacterial small subunit ribosomal RNA", at positions 30 to 523 of the family's 1533-position model. The record is from RNAcentral.
AUUGAACGCUGGCGGAAUGCUUUACACAUGCAAGUCGAACGGCAGCACGGACUUCGGUCUUGUGGCGAGUGGCGAACGGGUGUGUAACAUAUCGGAACGUAUCCAAUAAUGUGGGAUAACGAGUCGAAAGAUUCGCUAAUACCGCAUACGCCCUACGGGGGCAAGCUGGGGACGUUUGGGCCUGGCGUUAAUGGAGCGGCCGUUAUCUGAUUAGUUAGUUGGUGAGGUAAAGGCUCACCAAGGCGACGACCAGUAGCUGGUCUGAGAGGACGACCAGCCACACUGUAACUGAGACACGGUCCAGACUCCUACGGGAGGCAGCAGUGGGGAAUUUUGGACAAUGGGCGCAAGCCUGAUCCAGCCAUUCCGCGUGAGUGAAGAAGGCCUUCGGGUUGUAAAGCUCUUUCGCAAGGGAAGAAAACUUAGCCACUAACAUUGGUUGAGGUUGACGGUACCUUGAUAAGAAGCACCGGCUAACUACGUGCCAGCAGCCGCCGUAA